RNAcentral lists this ribosomal RNA (429 nucleotides) under Pseudomonadota bacterium. RNAcentral's name for it is "Proteobacteria bacterium partial 16S ribosomal RNA". It matches the Rfam family "Bacterial small subunit ribosomal RNA", at positions 355 to 776 of the family's 1533-position model. The record is from RNAcentral. Lineage: Bacteria; Pseudomonadati; Pseudomonadota.
UGGGGAAUAUUGGACAAUGGGGGGAACCCUGAUCCAGCCAUGCCGCGUGUGUGAAGAAGGUCUUCGGAUUGUAAAGCACUUUAAGUUGGGAGGAAGGGCAGUAAGCGAAUACCUUGCUGUUUUGACGUUACCGACAGAAUAAGCACCGGCUAACUCUGUGCCAGCAGCCGCGGUAAUACAGGGGGUGCAAGCGUUAAUCGGAAUUACUGGGCGUAAAGCGCGCGUAGGUGGUUCGUUAAGUUGAAUGUGAAAGCCCCGGGCUCAACCUGGGAACUGCAUCCAAAACUGGCGAGCUAGAGUAGGGCAGAGGGUGGUGGAAUUUCCUGUGUAGCGGUGAAAUGCGUAGAUAUAGGAAGGAACACCAGUGGCGAAGGCGGCCACCUGGGCUCAUACUGACACUGAGGUGCGAAAGCGUGGGGAGCAAACAGG